This 217-nucleotide long non-coding RNA is filed under the name Lathyrus oleraceus (garden pea). RNAcentral's name for it is "Pisum sativum (pea) long non-coding RNA (PSAT_LNC031027)". The record is from RNAcentral. Lineage: Eukaryota; Viridiplantae; Streptophyta; Magnoliopsida; Fabales; Fabaceae.
CAAAUUACUCGAAAGAAAGCACUAAAAAAUACUAGAGCAAAAAAUAAUAGGGGACUGUGUUGAACAUAUUUUUCAGAAUAAAUAAAAUGAGUGGGUAAAAAAAUAAAAUGGAAUUGGAAAUAAAUAUGGUAAAAAUAAAAUAAAAUGGAAAGUGAAAUAAACAUUUUGCACACGCUGAGGGUUGAACCCCUGACCUCAGGGUCAUGGGGGGAUCAAC